CCAGAACAACACAUAAUCUGAAAGGAGGGGCCAAAAAAGUAGGGGUGACAAAAACUCAGCUCCAGGUACAGUUUAUCCAGUAGUAGUACAGUACAAUACAAGAUUAAAAUGGCGCCAUAUCUUUAUACAUAAAAGAACUAAACACGCUAAAGAAAACAAACCGACGUUUUCUCAUGACGCUAUCUAGCAGUUUCUGUAAUCCACCCAGCCUCCUACAGUUAUUAACACCUGAAAAGGCCUCCAGUCUCAUCCUACACUUGCCGAGUUGAGAUUUUACGACAUCUUCAUCCAACCACCAGCCUUUCUACUUGACAGAAAAAUUCUACGUUAUGCUAGGAAGGUGUUGAAGGUACCAAUCCAAUCCAGGUUGAAAAUGAAUACACCACUGUACCCUUAAACAAUCUGGACGUAAUCUGGUGUGUCAGACCUUGGACCGGCAAUUGUCCGGUACACAUACAAUGUCUCGACUGGGCUAUCAUCCGGAAGUGACUCCACAGGGCAUGUUCGUCCAGGAUCGUUCAUUAUCUCCACGGUAAGGCGGGGCAUCUUCUCUGCAAGCUGUCGGCAUGCGCCCAGGGUCAAUGAGCACGACGACAUCCAAAGGGAUCGCAUUGUCUCCAGCUUGGCAGCAUUUGCCAGCAACGGCUUAUUUCCAAAUGGGCA
Molecule: long non-coding RNA, 663 nt
Filed under: Triticum aestivum (bread wheat)
Lineage: Eukaryota; Viridiplantae; Streptophyta; Magnoliopsida; Poales; Poaceae
Description: long non-coding RNA (TAES_LNC002284)
Source: RNAcentral